Molecule: ribosomal RNA, 440 nt
Filed under: uncultured bacterium
Lineage: Bacteria
Description: partial 16S ribosomal RNA
Rfam family: Bacterial small subunit ribosomal RNA
Source: RNAcentral
CCUACGGGUGGCAGCAGUGGGGAAUAUUGCACAAUGGGGGAAACCCUGAUGCAGCGACGCCGCGUGAGUGAUGAAGUCACUCGGUAUGGAAAGCUUUAUCUGUAGGGAAGAAAAUGACGGUACCUGUGUAAUAAGCCCCGGCUAACUACGAGCCAGCAGCCGCGGUAAUACGUAGGGGGCAAGCGUAAUCCGGAUUUACUGGGUGUAAAGGGAGCGUAGGCGGCAGAGCAAGUCUGGAGUGAAAGGCGGGGGCUCAACCCCCGGACUGCUAUGGAAACUGUACGGCUGGAGUGCAGGAGAGGUAAGUGGAAUUCGUAGUGUAGCGGUGAAAUGCGUAGAUAUUAGGAAGAACACCGGUGGCGAAGGCAGCUUACUGGACUGUAACUGACGUUGAGGCUCGAAAGCGUGGGUAGCAAACAGGAUUAGAUACCCUAGUAGUC